CUGGCUCAGAGCGAACGUUAGCGGCGGGCCUAACACAUGCAAGUCGAGCGAGAAAGGGGCUUCGGCCCUGAGUAAAGCGGCGGACGGGUGAGUAACACGUAGGUAAUCUUCCCUUGAGCGGGGGACAACGGUCCGAAAGGACCGCUAAUACCGCAUACGUUUCCGAGGACCCCGGUUCUUGGAAGGAAAGCUAGGUCGCAAGAUCCGGCACUCGAGGAGGAGCCUGCGUCGCAUCAGCUAGUUGGUGGGUAACGGCCUACCAAGGCGAAGACGCGUAGCUGGUCUGAGAGGAUGAUCAGCCACACUGGGACUGAGACACGGCCCAGACUCCUACGGGAGGCAGCAGUGGGGAAUAUUGGACAAUGGGCGCAAGCCUGAUCCAGCCACGCCGCGUGAGUGAUGAAGGCCUUCGGGUCGUAAAGCUCUGUGGGGAGGGACGAACCGCUGCACGUUCAUAGCGUGCAGCAUGACGGUACCUCCUUAGCAAGCACCGGCUAACUUCGUGCCAGCA
RNAcentral lists this ribosomal RNA (511 nucleotides) under uncultured Kofleriaceae bacterium. Its description in RNAcentral is "bacterial SSU rRNA". It matches the Rfam family "Bacterial small subunit ribosomal RNA", at positions 19 to 513 of the family's 1533-position model. The record is from RNAcentral. Lineage: Bacteria; Pseudomonadati; Myxococcota; Haliangiales; Kofleriaceae.